GGGCGAGUGGCGGAAUUCGGUAGACGCGCAGGCUUCAGGUGUCUGUGGGCUUUGGCCCGUGGGGGUUCAAAUCCCCCCUCGCCCACCA
Molecule: transfer RNA, 88 nt
Filed under: Actinobacteria bacterium QS_5_72_10
Lineage: Bacteria; Bacillati; Actinomycetota
Also listed under: 1 other name
Description: tRNA-Leu
Rfam family: tRNA
About the family: Transfer RNA (tRNA) molecules are approximately 80 nucleotides in length. Their secondary structure includes four short double-helical elements and three loops (D, anti-codon, and T loops).
Source: RNAcentral